This 350-nucleotide ribosomal RNA is filed under the name uncultured bacterium. RNAcentral describes it as "bacterial SSU rRNA". It matches the Rfam family "Bacterial small subunit ribosomal RNA", at positions 958 to 1306 of the family's 1533-position model. The record is from RNAcentral.
CACGCUCAUCACCUUCCCUGGCCCUGCCGUGUCACUCACUUUCCAUCUCUGGCUUGGUGCCUUCGGGUCACUCGAACACAGGUGCUGCAUGGCUGUCGUCAGCUCGUGUCGUGAGCUGUUGGGUUAAGUCCCGCAACGAGCGCAACCCUUGUCCUUAGUUGCCAGCACGUAAUGGUGGGAACUCUAAGGAGACCGCCGGUGACAAACCGGAGGAAGGUGGGGAUGACGUCAAGUCAUCAUGGCCCUUACGGCCAGGGCUACACACGUACUACAAUGGUAGGGACAGAGGGCUGCAAGCCGGCGACGGUAAGCCAAUCCCAGAAACCCUACCUCAGUCCGGAUUGGAGUCU